Long non-coding RNA from Marmota monax (woodchuck), 2537 nucleotides. RefSeq lists it as uncharacterized. The transcript has 2 exons. NCBI's taxonomy places the organism in Eukaryota, Metazoa, Chordata, Mammalia, Rodentia, Sciuridae. The record is from RefSeq and is a predicted model, not a curated record.
UGGAACUUUUUUCUUCCUGGAAUUUUAGAGUUAAAUAAAGGGGAAAUUAUUUUUUAAAAAAUUAAGUUUAAACUUUCUUAAUGCUUCUACAUUUAAAACUUGUCAGUGAUGGCUGUGUCACAAAGAUGACUUUGAAAACAUUUAAUUUCUUCUUUUUCAUUCUUUGACUUUUUGAAGUCCUUGAAUUUAUAUCAGUUAUUUCAUGUAAUUAAAAAAUAUUGAAAUGUGAUUUCCAAAGCCACUAAUAUUUACUAAGUUGAUAAUUGCUUUUCAACAUAUGUAUUUAAAUGAGGACAUAAGAAAAACAUUCAUCCCGAUUGUAGUUCUCUAAGAUUUUAGUUUUCAUGGUUUACCCCAUUUUAUUAUCAAAGAGUCAUUGUGAUGUAGUGGAUUUACGAUAAGUUUAACAAAAGCUGAGUUUGGUGAAAGAGAAUUCAUUAUUUUUGAGUUCUUUUUAUCAAGAAGAUCACAGUUCUGUUACAGAGUAACAAAAAGCAAGAAGGAAAUCAACAGGUUAAAUCUUGUAAAAUAUUGUUUAAGGAAUUAUAGAAAAAUUUAAAAUUUAUGCUUAUUAUGUGACAUUAUUGAUUUUUUUCUCCCUAGCUGACUUUAUUAGAUUAAUUUACAUAAGUGAGUAACUCCUAGUAUAUUUGUUCAUGGGCCUAGCUUUUUUCUAGUACUGUAGAGCACAAAAGAAACAUGAAUCAUGGCGGUUUAGAGGUAAACUUGAGUUUUCUUGCUGAGAAAGUUAGGAAAUCAUAUCGAUCUAAAGAAUAUGCUUUCAUUUAUUUAAAAUGAAACUUUACGUGGUAUAUUAAUUACCUAUAGAGAACUUGAAAACUGGUUUCUGCUUUAUAAUAUUCAAAAAUUAUAAUUAGCACCAGUUACUUGUCAUUUUCUUGUCUUUUAGAUACAUCUACUGAGAUUUAAGCAAUAUUUUAUUGCAGAUAUGUUUUCUUUAUUACUCUUUAUCUUGUAUGUUGAAUUGGGUCAAGAUGCAUGAGGACAGAUUAUAAACUAAUUAUUAAGGAUAUUCUAACGUGUGUUUAUCUUUCUGUCUGUAAAAUACACUCAAAAAAGUUCAAACUAUGUAAGGACAAAAGAAGUAAAAAGUGAAAAAUCCCUCUCUCCCAGCAAACAUACUUCAAAUGAUAUCUAGUGAUAUCCAUGGGCAAGGACACUAGCAUUCAAUGGUGUAAUGUUUAAUGUAAUACUUUUAAUAAGGUUUGGUGAAUAAAGCAGGCAAAGAACUUAAAAGUCUCAUCUGGCCUGUUCUUUUGCCUCACCCAGAGGGGAUAGAAAAGUGGUUUAACAAGCCUGGAACUUGAUUUAAUGUGGUUUUUUGGGGGGAGGUCUGCUCUGUUCUGAUUCAAAUCAAGUAAAUUGGGACAGCUCUAUAGAUCCCAAACCCAUGUAUCUAGUUAUCCUCAAAAGCAAAUACUAUUUUUAUUUUUUAUUUUUUGCAAAUACAUUUUUUUAAAAAAAAAUUUAAUUGGUUUUCCAUGCAUAGAGUUAAAUAGUUCUAUAAGAACAUUUUAAAGUCAAAUAGCUCUUUGAGGUUUGUUACAAAAAACUUGUUAUACUAACACAUCAUAUUCUAUUCCCAGAGAUAAGCACUUUCCUACUAUUUUAACUAGUUCUUACAGUAUUUAACUUCUUACCAUUAAAUCCACACUUACGUCACUAUUUCCUGACUUUUCCCAUUGUGUGUAUUGUCUGCUGACUUCUUGCUCUGGAAAAUGAGAAUAUAGCUGUCUUUAGACAACUCCCUGUACUUCUGUUCCUCCAUUCUCGCAGUAUAUUUUGAUAGGGUUACUAUUCAGUGUUUUUGUUAUGAUUAUGUAUUUGCAAUUUGCUUUUAAACUGUAAUCUCUUACAUCUCCUUUUUGAAACCUCAUUUUGCUUUCCCUAAAAUUCAUAAUUAUCUUUAGAUUUAUAAAAUAAUUAAAUUUUUGUGUGUUUAUCACUGUUGUAAUUCUAAAUUUUAUCCCUGUUGAUUAAAUCUCUCACUUGCAUCAAACAAGUUUAGUGUUCUGUUAAUUUCAUAUUUAGUUUCUGGUUUGUUCUUUUUGUGUGUUUUUUAUUUGUUUAUUUGGAGUGGGGUGUUUGUUUUGUUUUUGUAGUCUGUAGGAUUAUUAAGUUUUUGUUUUUUCAGAGUGGCAGCCUUCUGCAAAGAAGAUUCUUCAGUCUCCUGCACAGAAGACAUCUGCCUCACUGCUAUAAGUGUUUAGAGAAAAAAGGGUUUAGACAUGAGCAACCUUUCUCAUGGCUUCACUGAAAUUUUUUCAUGUGUACCAACUUGGUGUUUAAUUCCAAUUUGACUGGCCUAGUGAAUUUAACAGCAGAAGAAAUAGCUAUCAGAUGAAAGAAGAGACUGAAGAUUUGGUUAAUCUGGGGGAAAAUCUAGUUCAAGAGCAUUUUUCAUAUAUACUUUCUGUCAGCACUGGCAUAUAUGCUGUAACUCACAUUAUAUGUAUUUCUUGGGAAUCUACAUUUUUCGCUUCUCUGCAGAAAUAAAAUGACUUUAUUUGAUUUUA